GGAAUAACUCUCCUUAGUGAUGAAGACGAAAACACCAAAUUAUUCAGAGAAUUGAUGCUAACUUGAGGACACUUCUUCAAGUUUAUCUCUCUCAAUGAUCUACAGUUCUUCACCAUUGCAUGUAAGCCCUCUGCUGUCACUCCUUUACAGUUCUCCAAGUUUAAUUUCAGCAGUCGAGAACAUCUGCUUCCAAUCAUGACCAGACCUUCAUCAUUUAAUGCUGAACCAGCUGCACUUAUUACCUCAAGACUAGGCAAUUCUGCACCUUUUCCGAUAUGUUUAAUCCCGUGGGUGAGCAGAGUCGAAUCUAUCACCGUUAAACCGAUUCGCAGACGAUUUGUGAGAGCAAGAAACUGUUUGGACACCACGGAAAACGAUUCCAAGUCGGAUUUGUGAUGAAGACGACUGAAUAUCAGUUCCCAGCAUUCUACCGGCAAAUCCUUGCACCGAUUUGCCAUUGAUUUUAGCUAAUUAGGGCUAAAAUUUUACAUAUGAAAAAUUGACUCGUUUUUCGAGAGAGAAUUCGGAAUUCAG
This 534-nucleotide unclassified non-coding RNA is filed under the name Hevea brasiliensis (rubber tree). The record is from RNAcentral. Lineage: Eukaryota; Viridiplantae; Streptophyta; Magnoliopsida; Malpighiales; Euphorbiaceae.